CCUACGGUUUGCAGCAGUGGGGAAUAUUGCACAAUGGGCGCAAGCCUGAUGCAGCCAUGCCGCGUGUGUGAAGAAGGCCUUCGGGUUGUAAAGCACUUUCAGCGGGGGGGAAGGCGUUAAGGUUAAUAACCUUAGCGAUUGACGUUACCCGCAGAAGAAGCUCCGGCUAACUCCGUGUCAGCAGCCGCGGUAAUACGGAGGGUGCAAGCGUUAAUCGGAAUUACUGGGCGUAAAGCGCACGCAGGCGGUCUGUCAAGUCGGAUGUGAAAUCCCCGGGCUCAACCUGGGAACUGCAUUCGAAACUGGCAGGCUAGAGUCUUGUAGAGGGGGGUAGAAUUCCAGGUGUAGCGGUGAAAUGCGUAGAGAUCUGGAGGAAUACCGGUGGCGAAGGCGGCCCCCUGGACAAAGACUGACGCUCAGGUGCGAAAGCGUGGGGAGCAAACAGGAUUAGAUACCCUCGUAGUC
Molecule: ribosomal RNA, 465 nt
Filed under: uncultured bacterium
Lineage: Bacteria
Description: bacterial SSU rRNA
Rfam family: Bacterial small subunit ribosomal RNA
Source: RNAcentral